This 497-nucleotide ribosomal RNA is filed under the name uncultured bacterium. RNAcentral describes it as "partial 16S ribosomal RNA". It matches the Rfam family "Bacterial small subunit ribosomal RNA", at positions 28 to 507 of the family's 1533-position model. The record is from RNAcentral.
GAUGAACGCUGGCGGCGUGCCUAAUACAUGCAAGUCGAGCGAACAGACGAGGAGCUUGCUCCUCUGAUGUUAGCGGCGGACGGGUAAGUAACACGUGGAUAACCUACCUAUAAGACUGGGAUAACUUCGGGAAACCGGAGCUAAUACCGGAUAACAUGUUGAACCGCAUGGUUCAACAGUGAAAGACGGUCUUGCUGUCACUUAUAGAUGGAUCCGCGCCGCAUUAGCUAGUUGGUAAGGUAACGGCUUACCAAGGCAACGAUGCGUAGCCGACCUGAGAGGGUGAUCGGCCACACUGGAACUGAGACACGGUCCAGCCUCCUACGGGAGGCAGCAGUAGGGAAUCUUCCGCAAUGGGCGAAAGCCUGACGGAGCAACGCCGCGUGAGUGAAGAAGGUCUUCGGAUCGUAAAACUCUGUUAUUAGGGAAGAACAAAUGUGUAAGUAACUAUGCACGUCUUGACGGUACCUAAUCAGAAAGCCACGGCUAACUACGUG